CUGGUUGAUCCUGCCAGUAGUCAUAUGCUUGUCUCAAAGAUUAAGCCAUGCAUGUCUAAGUUCAAGCGAAAAUAAAGUGAAACCGCGAAUGGCUCAUUACAUCAGUUAUGGUUCCUUAGAUCGCACUUACUACCUGGAUAACUGUGGUAAUUCUAGAGCUAAUACAUGCACUGAGCUCCAACCCUCGUGGAAGGAGCGCUUUUAUUAGAUCAAAGCCAAUCGGGCCUUCGGGUCCGUACCGUUGGUGACUCUGAAUAACUUUGCUGAUCGCAUGGUCUCGUACCGGCGACGUAUCUUUCAAGUGUCUGCCUUAUCAACUGUCGAUGGUAGGUUAUGCGCCUACCAUGGUUGUAACGGGUAACGGGGAAUCAGGGUUCGAUUCCGGAGAGGGAGCCUGAGAAACGGCUACCACAUCCAAGGAAGGCAGCAGGCGCGCAAAUUACCCACUCCCGGCACGGGGAGGUAGUGACGAAAAAUAACGAUACGGAACUCACAUGAGGCUCCGUAAUCGGAAUGAGUACACUUUAAAUCCUUUAACGAGGAUCUAUUGGAGGGCAAGUCUGGUGCCAGCAGCCGCGGUAAUUCCAGCUCCAAUAGCGUAUAUUAAAGUUGUUGCGGUUAAAAAGCUCGUAGUUGGAUCUCGGUUUCGGGCGGGUGGUGCGCCUUGCGGUGUUUACUGUCUGCCCGGACGAUUUUGUUGGUUCGUUCGUGGUUCUCUUAACCGAGUGCCACGGGUGGCCAGCACGUUUACUUUGAAAAAAUUGGAGUGCUCAAAGCAGGCGCUACAGCCUGAACAUUAGUGCAUGGAAUAAUGGAAUAGGACCUCGGUUCUAUUUCGUUGGCUUUCGGAGUCGAGGUAAUGAUUAAUAGGAACAGACGGGGGCAUUCGUACUGCGACGUUAGAGGUGAAAUUCUUGGAUCGUCGCAAGACGAACUACUGCGAAAGCAUUUGCCAAGAAUGUUUUCAUUAAUCAAGAACGAAAGUUAGAGGUUCGAAGGCGAUCAGAUACCGCCCUAGUUCUAACCAUAAACGAUGCCGACCGGCGAUCCGCCGUCGUUAAUUGAAUGACUCGGCGGGCAGCCUCCGGGAAACCAGAGUGUUUGGGUUCCGGGGGAAGUAUGGUUGCAAAGCUGAAACUUAAAGGAAUUGACGGAAGGGCACCACCAGGGGUGGAGCCUGCGGCUUAAUUUGACUCAACACGGGAAAUCUCACCAGGCCCGGACACCGGAAGGAUUGACAGAUUGAGAGCUCUUUCUUGAUUCGGUGGGUGGUGGUGCAUGGCCGUUCUUAGUUGGUGGAGCGAUUUGUCUGGUUAAUUCCGAUAACGAACGAGACUCUGGCCUACUAACUAGAUGUAGGAUCCCUUUGUGGGUCCGUCACUGCUUCUUAGAGGGACGGGCGGCUUUUAGCCGCACGAGAAUGAGCAAUAACAGGUCUGUGAUGCCCUUAGAUGUUCUGGGCUGCACGCGCGCUACACUGAAGGAAUCAGCGUGUGUUCCCUACCCGAAAGGGUUGGGAAACCCGUUGAACCUCCUUCGUGAUGGGGAUUGGGGAUUGCAAUUAUUCCCCAUGAACGAGGAAUUCCCAGUAGGCGCGAGUCAUAAGCUUGCGUCGAUUACGUCCCUGCCCUUUGUACACACCGCCCGUCGCUACUACCGAUCGAGUGAUUUAGUGAGGACUUCGGACUGGUCUUCGUGGUGGCUCUCGAGUCAUGACGGAGUUCCGGAAAGAUGCCCAAACUUGAUCACUUAGAGGAAGUAAAAGUCGUAACAAGGUUUCCGUAGGUGAACCUGCG
Molecule: ribosomal RNA, 1796 nt
Filed under: Sminthuridae environmental sample
Lineage: Eukaryota; Metazoa; Arthropoda; Collembola; Symphypleona; Sminthuridae
Description: SSU rRNA
Rfam family: Eukaryotic small subunit ribosomal RNA
Source: RNAcentral